AAUUUAUAAACGUUAUAUAAAAUUAAAUAAGGUUAUAAAUAGAAUCGGAUAUUCGAAUACGGAUUGGAUAGUUGUCUAUCCAUAUCUAUAUUCAUUUUUCUUUGCCAGAUAUAGAUAUAAAUAUGGAUAUUAGUCAAAUACUCGAAUUUUUAUCUAUAUCCGAAUAUAUUUAGAUACGAAAAUAAACCCGAACAUAUGUUAUCUGAUCUACUUUUAUUUCUAAGUGAAACGGAGAUUAAAAGUUAUAAAAGUUGAAGUGCUAGUGUAAAAUAUGGAAAUUAGUGUUGAGUCGGCUAAAAGAAAAUAGUAGAACCAAUUAGUAAAUAUAUCAAAGUCUUAAGCCCUCCGAAUCCAAGAAAUUGUUUUUUUGGGGUACAAUCCAAGAAAUUAUUUGCUCACAAGCUUCUGAAGCACCUACCUU
This 421-nucleotide long non-coding RNA is filed under the name Phoenix dactylifera (date palm). Its description in RNAcentral is "long non-coding RNA (PDAC_LNC020030)". The record is from RNAcentral. Lineage: Eukaryota; Viridiplantae; Streptophyta; Magnoliopsida; Arecales; Arecaceae.